AAUUUAGCUUUGAUAAGGAAAGUAACUUAAGAUUAAGUUUUCAGAGAGUCUUUGGUGUGGUGGAAAAAAGAUAAUGAGAUCUUAUGCAAAAAUCACCUUUGAGCUGAAGAGACGAUAUUUAGUCUUUUCAGGGCCCGCCCUAUACAGCGGCGACGUAUCGCUUGUCUAUAUGAUGAGCCGCACGUGCAUGAGAUCAGUAUCAAUUGCUGAUGAAUAAAUAGGUGGUACCGCGUCAAAACGCCCUAUUA
RNAcentral lists this non-coding RNA (248 nucleotides) under Lactobacillus acidophilus. RNAcentral's name for it is "T-box sequence". It matches the Rfam family "T-box leader". From Rfam's summary of the family: Uncharged tRNA acts as the effector for transcription antitermination of genes in the T-box leader family. T-boxes are found upstream of many aminoacyl-tRNA synthetase genes and some amino acid biosynthetic genes usually in Gram-positive bacteria. The record is from RNAcentral. Lineage: Bacteria; Bacillati; Bacillota; Bacilli; Lactobacillales; Lactobacillaceae.